CAGUAAUUCAAUUAAGAGGUGAUGACAGCGGGAGGUGGAGGGACUUAUACACAACAUUUUUUUCUUUCAGAUUUAUUACCAGCAUUUUAAUUCAGAGGUAAAAAGUGACAUGCUUGUCAAGUAUGCAAUGCAUACUCAAAAUGUAAUCUCUGAAUUUAACCCAUCACAGUAAGUAGUGAACAAACACACAUAGACACACACACACAAACACACACACACUUACACACUUACCCGGAGCAGUGGGCAGCUACCCCAGCACCCAGGGAGCAAUUAAGCCAAGGUGCCUUGUUUAAGAUCACCACAACUCACCAGCCAAGGGACUCGAACUGGCAACUCUCGGGUUUAAAGCCCGACUCUCACCACUAGGCUACAACUGCCCUAGGUGAAGGACAAAUGGGAGGUGGAGGGACCUCUCAGAUUUAUUACCAGCAUUUUAAUUCAGAGGUGGAUGACAGUGGGAGGAGGAGGGACAUAUACACAAUUUUUUUUCUUUUAGAUUUAUUGUCAGCAUUUGAAUUCAGUUGCCUUGCUCAAGGGCACCACAGUCACAACUCAUUGACCGUAAGACUCAAACCGGCAACUCUCGGGUAAAAAGCCCAAAACUCUCUAACCACUGGGCUACAACUGUCCCAGCUGAAGGACAAUGGGAAAUUUUAGGUAAAGACUUGUUUGUCUAUUAUUUCUUGCGUAAUUAUUAUAAAUAUUUGAACGUUUUAAUUGAAACAUUUAAAGGAAAAGUAGAAAAGUUGAUGAACAAUGAACUUUUGUUCAUACAG
Misgurnus anguillicaudatus (oriental weatherfish) is the source of this 776-nucleotide non-coding RNA. NCBI's taxonomy places the organism in Eukaryota, Metazoa, Chordata, Actinopteri, Cypriniformes, Cobitidae. The record is from RefSeq and is a predicted model, not a curated record.